GCUCUGGAGCCUGGGAGCCAUACAGGGUUGUUGGUACCUUAGAGCAUACCGGACUUGCAGAAAAAGCAUCCUCUAGGAAGCUGAAGCAUGACGGCCCAAGCUCCAGCAAUUUAUGUGCAAUUUUCCUCUGACAGUUCCUGUUGCCACGGGGAUAAAGACCAGGCAGUGUCCGUAUCUAUUUGUAACAGUAAGAGAAGCUCUGCAGUCACAGUUGGGAUAUUGUUUAACAGAUGGUGUGCUUUCUUUUGCACACUACUGCUGCCAAU
Sorex araneus (European shrew) is the source of this 266-nucleotide non-coding RNA. NCBI's taxonomy places the organism in Eukaryota, Metazoa, Chordata, Mammalia, Eulipotyphla, Soricidae. The record is from RefSeq and is a predicted model, not a curated record.